RNAcentral lists this unclassified non-coding RNA (249 nucleotides) under Hevea brasiliensis (rubber tree). The record is from RNAcentral. Lineage: Eukaryota; Viridiplantae; Streptophyta; Magnoliopsida; Malpighiales; Euphorbiaceae.
CAAGAAACCAAGAUUGUGAAACACAUCAAGACUUGCAACCGACAAUCACAACAAAUAAGCACAUUAUACAUAAGCAUUGAAUUGUCAAAAUACAAAUUAGAUAUAUCAGUUAAAGUACUAUGAUCCCAGAGAUAUCAUUAACGCAUUGGCAAUUAAGUCGAAAAAGAUAUCAACCCACCACCGAGAAGUAUAAUCAGAAAAAUAGAUAAACUUGUAGACCUGAUACCUGUUCUUCCAUCAUGGAACCAG